UGCUAAGGCUUGUCCGGCAGGACCCAACAUUGGUUUUAAUCUGCUAAUCACAUAAUAACCUGCAUAGGGAAUAGCUACCCCGAGGAAUUUAAUCAACAACCCGGGCUAGUGCUCCUCAUGAGUGUUGGCCCCACCUGAACGAUGUCCGGGGCCCCACUGGUCACCCAGAGGUUGAGCCAUCCCGACGUCUAGCUCAUCC
Molecule: long non-coding RNA, 199 nt
Filed under: Hordeum vulgare
Lineage: Eukaryota; Viridiplantae; Streptophyta; Magnoliopsida; Poales; Poaceae
Description: long non-coding RNA (HVUL_LNC019184)
Source: RNAcentral